RNAcentral lists this ribosomal RNA (492 nucleotides) under uncultured bacterium. RNAcentral's name for it is "partial 16S ribosomal RNA". It matches the Rfam family "Bacterial small subunit ribosomal RNA", at positions 28 to 507 of the family's 1533-position model. The record is from RNAcentral.
GAUGAACGCUAGCUACAGGCUUAACACAUGCAAGUCGAGGGGAAACGCCAUCGAAAGCUUGCUUUUGAUGGGCGUCGACCGGCGCACGGGUGAGUAACGCGUAUCCAACCUGCCCACCACUUGGGGAUAACCUUGCGAAAGUAAGACUAAUACCCGAUGAUAUCUCUAUAAGACAUCUGAAAGGGAUUAAAGAUUUAUCGGUGAUGGAUGGGGAUGCGUCUGAUUAGCUUGUUGGCGGGGUAACGGCCCACCAAGGCGACGAUCAGUAGGGGUUCUGAGAGGAAGGUCCCCGACAUUGGAACUGAGCCACGGUCCAAACCCCUACGGGAGGCAGCAGUGAGGAAUAUUGGUCAAUGGGCGAGAGCCUGAACCAGCCAAGUAGCGUGCAGGAUGACGGCCCUAUGGGUUGUAAACUGCUUUUAUAAGGGAAUAAAGUGAGUCUCGUGAGACUUUUUGCAUGUACCUUAUGAAUAAGGACCGGCUAAUUCCGUG